This is a non-coding RNA of Pelobates cultripes (western spadefoot toad), 179 nucleotides long. The record is from the annotation of a GenBank genome assembly. NCBI's taxonomy places the organism in Eukaryota, Metazoa, Chordata, Amphibia, Anura, Pelobatidae.
GCUAGAGCACUUUUUCAAUGUGCUCCCCAACGAGAAGGCGAUGACGCAUUCGUAUGUCAAUCCAUAUCAACUUUCGAUGCCAUUGACUGCGCCUACCAUGGUGACCACGGGUAACGGGGAAUCAGGGUUCGAUUCCGUACAGGGACCCUGACAAAUGGUUACCACAUGUAAGGAAGGCA